Molecule: long non-coding RNA, 20340 nt
Organism: Pan troglodytes (chimpanzee)
Lineage: Eukaryota; Metazoa; Chordata; Mammalia; Primates; Hominidae
Exons: 4
Source: RefSeq, a predicted model, not a curated record
UUUGCCUAAAUCUCAUUAUAGUUUGUGAAGAUAGAAAAUAAAGACCCAGUGAUAAUCCCACAAAUGAACUAGAUCAGCUGGUCCCAAGUGUCUACUGGAUAACGGUGCUGACCUGGUGGAUGAAAGGUGUUGUAUUAGUCCUUUCUCACACUGCUCUCAAGAAAUGCCCCAAACUGGGUAAUUGAUAAAGAAAAGAGGUUUAAUUGGCUCACAGUUCCUCAGGUUGUAUGGGAAGCAUGGCUGGGGAGGCCUCAGGAAACUUACAAUCAUGGCAGAAGGCAAAGGGGAAGCAGGCAAGUCCUACAUGGCUGGAGCAGGAGGAAGAGAGUGAAGGCAAGGGAGGGUGCUACACACUUUUAAACUACCAGCUUAUCUGAGAACUCACUAUCACAAGAACAGCAAGGAAAAAUGUGCCCCUGUGUUUCAAUCACCUCCCACCAGGCCCCUCUUCCAACAUUAGGGAUUACAAUUUGACAUGAGAUUUGGGCGGGAACAUUAAUACUUAAUGUAGCAGACAGAAAUUGUAACUUAGUGUAUCUCAAUGAUACUACUCAGUAAUUGAAAAUAAGAAGUUCGAACUAAGUGAUCCAUCUCCGAGGGAGCUGGAGGGUGUGGUCCUGCAGGGAUCAAUUGAGUUUUCUGCUCCCUUGAACACAUUUGUUCUCGUUGAUUUUUGUUGAAGGUGCUCUCAAUCAACAUGUCAUUUGCCUUCAAUUCAGACUCAAAUAUUCCCCUUAGGUGGCUUUAAUUUGUGAGUUCAUUAUUUACUGUGGAGCUUUAGAAAACAGAAAUGCCUUGAUAUUCAGCUAUCUUUCUUCAAAUAUUUCUGUGACACAUUAAGCACCAAAAUGGCAUUAAUUGAACAGAAUUCUAUAUAUAUAAGUCAUUUGAUCAGCAAGCAGCUUCCCAGAAGUUGUUGCUGUCAUAUCUGUCAUAUAUAUUUAUUCCAAGAAGAGCUCCUGCUAUUAUAAAAAUUAUGUAAAAGUAAACAAGAAAACUGAGAUAAAGGAGAAAUACAGAAGAAAAAUGAACGUUACUAGGGAGAAAGUUAGUGCCCCAUAUAUCUGUCUAAAGGAUCAUGUGUUCUUCACUGGAAUUGGGUAAAACAUUGAUGCUGAGGUUGCAGUAAUCUUGUUUCUCCAGCUCUGUUGAGGUAUAAUUGAAAAAUAAAAGUUGUAUAUAUUUAAGGUUUUGACCAUAAUAGGUGGUCAGUAUUUCCCUUAGCCUGAUUCAAGAUUUGCACUCAAGUCAGCUUGUCUUUAUUUUCAGUGAAAAUUCACUCUUGCCUUGGCAAAGAAGAAAUGUGAUUUAGGUACCCAGCACAAAACAAUAAUAUGAAUCAAGGAAGUUGGAUCUGUGAGAAAACAAAACUUUUCAGUGAAAGCAUGUGGAUAUUCACGUUGACAAGGCUGGCUGUGAUCUGGUUGGCUUUGUGACCAGGGCUGCGGACCCCUUUCUUUGGCCUCAGGCUCCUAACUGUACUCAGGGGCUGAUGUCACCUUUUCCUCUGAUUUCCAUGAGGAAUAUAUGAGAUUGCAUUUGUAAAAUACUUAACUUGGGGCAUGUCACAUGAUAGGAUCCCAUAAACAUUGCUUUUAAAUAAUUAUCCUGAUUGGAAUAUCAGACAUUCUCUACGUUAGAAGAAACAAGUCACUAGUUGCUAAAAGUCAAUGGAAACUUGAGAACUGAAAUAUUUAGAUAUAUUUAUAUUUUAUUUUAGAUUCAGGGUAUUUGGUUGAUGCUUACUACAAGUUUACCUGGGUGUGUGGUUGAACUUGCUCCUUAUGAAAAUAGGAGCAAGAAAGGGAAGAAAAGGAAGGAAAGAGUAGGCCAACCCAAGAGGACCUCCCUUGCUUGUGGGAGGUAGUGUCCAGUGGUCAGCAGAGCAGAAGGACUCCUGGGAGGGGCUGCACCACUGACAUGCUGGCCGUGGGAGCCUUAAGUCACUCUGUGGUUGGGGUUCAUGACUCCAUGAGAUGGGGCCUGUUCUCCUGUUUCAACUCGAGAAACUGGAAGUGGAUCAGUUGCAUGUCCAGGCACUUCUCUGGGGAAGCGUGUGCUUCCCUGAGCAGACCUGGGGUCCACCUUCCUCAAUCUCCCAUCAGCUCCCUUUUACACAAACACAGAGCCAACUCCGUGUCAGUUGUCUGGGGACUGAAAAUUAGGACACAUAUCCUCAUGUCCUAUAACCACAUAACCACCUCCAUGCCAUAGGAACGGGUUAUUGCAGACAUUUGCAUUGAGGUUGGAUAGCUUUUUAAAAUUAAUGCAAAUAUAUAUGGUACUCCUAACACCGAUUUACUGACUACAGAAAUAGAAGGAAAAUAAUAAAUAGUGUUUCUUCUGGUAGACUGUAGUAAGGGGAUUCUCAAUAGAACACCUGUUACUAACCUGGGAACCAAUGAAACCUAAGGGUUAUGGAAAUCUUUUUCAUGGCUAUUUUUUUUUUUUUUAACUAGGGAAAAGCAAGAUUUAAGAUAACACUCUUCCCAGAUGUGAGUAAGCUGAAGAUAAAGCCUUAAAUAUUUUCUUGCCCAACAGGAAAAAAAAUGAUCAGGUGAAUCUUGUCUUUUUCUAUACUAAAGAGAUACUAUUGCUGAAGAAGCAUAUCAGGGCUUAGUGCGGUCCUUGGCACGCUUGUAGGCAUUGCCUAAAUGUUCACUGGGGCUGGAUCACCUGUCUUAUCAGAAAGAAAGCAAAAACAAACAACAGCAUCAACAACAAACCACACAGACAGACAAAAAUGCUUAGAGGCCUCUAAUUCCACUAAUUGAAAAAUAUAGCAGGAGGAAGGGUGUCAGGAGAAUUGCAGAAUGAGGCUCCUGGCUUUACCUCCUCCCAUGGGUGCACUGAAUAAACAUCUACAUGUGGAACAUUUCCUCUGAGAGAAUUCAGAAACUGGCUGAGAUACUCCUAUUAGUAUCUGAGAAAACAUCUGCAUCCAAACACGUAGGAAGAGCUGAGCCAUAUCAGGCACAAGUCCCUCCCCAAGCACUGUGCAAUAUAAUCAAAAAGGAACCCCCAGCUCCCAACAACUCCCUGAGGAGUGAAACGCUUCAACUACAGAUAUGGUGCCCCAGCUUUUAUGGUUCCCCUGGAGGCUUUGUUUCGUAAGUCACCUAGCUCUAAAAGCAAAAGGGACUGGGCGUUUGUGAGCGUUCCUAGACCACAGAGAGCAAAGAGGUGGUUUUAAGUGAGCAUUUGAGGACUUUCAGUGACAACGCACUCCAGAAUUAGUGCAGAGAAGAGACUAAAAUGCACGGCUCCCAUUUUAUUCCUGGGAGGGGCUUGUCUGCACAUACCUGAGAAUCAGGCUUUCACUAGCCUGCAUCUGAGAGUCUACAGGGCAGAUAGACAAUAGGGUGUGAAGGAGCCUGAACAGGAAUGGGUGAACUUUUACAUCAUCUUCCCUGGCUCAUUCUAGUGAUAAAUCCAGAUUCUCCCUGGAAGUUUUUUUUUUUUCACAGAUUGAUUAUCCCAAGUUUUACAGUUCCCACCCGAGGAACUGCCUCCUAAAUUGCCUAGCUUUGGAAGCAAAAGGGACCUGGAAUUCGCAAGUCUCCCUAGAUCACAGAGAAGAAAUGUGUGAGUUUUAAAUAGGUGUGCAAGCAUGUCCAGUGGCUACACUACCUAGCAUCAGAGUGUGUGGUCUGAAUGAGUGUGCAGCCAUUUGCCACAGAUGCUCUCCCAGGCUUAAUGCAGAAUAAGUGAGAGAGAAACUCCAGCUCUCAGCUUCUCCCUGAGGAUCGAAAGUACUGGAGCACACAUCUACCACUCUAGCUUUCCCAGCUGCGUCUUGAGGGACCAGCUUCUAUCCUGCCUAUUGUGGGGCUGAGAGGAUGUUGCACACACUAAUCUCAUAAGGGCCAUUAUGAACAAAGAGAGCAGCUAGACAAGCACAAAGUUUUGAAAGGCACCUAGAAUCUCUGAUCAGGCUGAUGGGUGAGGUCCAUCUUCUACAAAAGGCCAUUCUGACAAGAAUGGGAGAGGUAAUUGUCUUAUCCAAUGCACAGAAACCAACACUGAGAGUUGAGGAAAAUAAAGAGACAGGGAAAUAGGUUCCAAAUAACAAGAUACAUUUUUAGAAACUGACCCUUAUGAAAUGACCUCCAUUUUUAUCACUGUUAUUUCACAUUCUCUAUUGGGUAAAUCACUUAUCUCAGGCGGUUAUGUGGUUAUACGUUAUAGGAGGUGGUUAUGUGGCUAUAGGAUAUGACGAUAUGUGGCCUAAUCACUUAUCUCAAGUGAUUUACCCAACAGAGAAUUUGAAAUAACAGUGAUAAAAAUGCUCACUGGGAUCAGGAGGGCAAUGCAUGCACAAACUGAGAAUUUCAACAAAGAGAAAAUAUUAAAAAGUGCCAAAUAGAAAUCAUAGAGCUAAAAAUACAGCUGAACUAAAAUAUUUAAUAGAGGGCUUCAACAGUAAACAAUAUCAAUCAGAAGAGAGAAUCAGCAAACUUGAAGAGAGUGCAUUGGAAAUCAAUCUGAGGAGAAAAAAAUAAUAAAGAAUAAGAGUGGAGAUAGCUUAAGGGACCUGUGGGACACCAUCAAGUGGUUGCACACGUUACUGGAGUUCAAGAAGGAGAAGAGAACAGGGCAGGAAGCUGAUUCACAAAAAUAAUGGCUGAACACUUCUGAGACAUGGAGAAAGAAAUAGAAACCUCAAUCUGAGAAGUCAAACAGCAAGUCAGAUGAAUACAAAGAGAUCCACACUGAGACACAUUAUAAUCAAAUUGCCAAUAGACAGAAUUUUCAAAGUAGUGAGAAAAAGUGACUUGCUGUGUACAAAGGAACUUUCAUAACACUAUAAGGAGAAACUCUGCAGGCUAGAAGGUAGUGUGAUGAUAUAGUCAGAGUGAUGAAAGAAAAAAAUACCUUCUGAUCAAGAAUAGUAUGCUUAGCAAUUCUGCCAUUCAAAAAUAAAAGAUAAAGACUUUCUCAGAUAAACAAAAGCUAAGGAAGCUUAUCACCACUAGACCUGCCUUGUAAGAAUAGCUUAAGGAGUGGUAUAAAUUAACAUUUUGCAACAUUUUAAUAUUUUUUCUGUUUGGGUGCCAUCUAAUGUGAAGGCAAGGACAAGGUCUAGAGGUUUUGGAACCAGAAAGUCUUGAGUUUCAAAGACGGCAGCAAUGUCAGGUAUGAGCCAGGGACUCUUGUUUUCUCAUCCACAGGAUGGUAAAAUUAACCACUCCAGAGUUUGACAAGAUUGUUUGCUAUGUCCAGUAGGUGGAACUUGAUGGUUGCUUGAAUAAUCUAAGUAAAAUGAGGAUUUCCCAAGGAAAGGAUGGACUUAGACUCUUAUUUACAUACAUAAUAAUGUUUGAGCAAAAUUGUCAAUGCAUGACAAAGGUGUGGUUGUUACCUAAUAUUACUUGCAAGGUGAAAGAGAUGAAAGAAUACAUCAAAUACUAUUAUAUCUGUUCAAAGACAGAAAAAUCCCACCAGGGUAGCAGAGAUCUGGUCUAAGUCUCAGCAAGUUUAUUUAUAUUCCCUUCAAUGCAUUUGGUAUCUAGAAUAUGAAAAAUAUUCAUGGAAGGGCUUUGUCAAAGUUAUGGUAUUAUUUACAUGUCAAUUAUGACAAUUUAAUUCAUAGUUCCAUUGAACAGGUCACUUUUUUGUCAAGCGUCUACAAUUUCAGUUUAAUAAAUGUUUGCACAUUAUUUGAGAACAGUGGGUUAAAAAAGUGUUAUUUUCUGAGUACCUACACUCAUUGAGGAACUGUAAGGCUAUUCAGUGCCUUGUCCCUGGGAACUGGCUGUAAUCAUGGGCAGAUGCAGUAUUUUUUGGCAUUCUGAGGAAUUUCUGCACCUGCCUGUUCAGGAUCUAGCCCUGUCAGAAAGCCAUCCACCAUCACCUGGCCAUGGCAAGAUCUCUUUUCGUUGAAUCGUUGUCUCUUCUUUUAAAUAUUUAACAUGUGUGUGUGUUUUCCAUAUAAAUUUGGUAUUUAUUAUAUGCACUGAAACAUCAUUAUUUGUAAAAGGGUCUAUGGGAUAAGAAACUUGACGUGUUUUUGUUCUUGAUUUUAAAUAGCUUUCAGAAUCUUUUCUUCUGGUUACUUCAUAUCCCACCUGGCAGAAUAUUUUAGGAUUAUGAGUUUAAUUAAAACACGAUGCAACACCAUAUACUGCCUGUAACAAUUAACCUAAUCAGUUUCACAAUUGAUACCUUAUAAUUAUUUCUCUCAUGCUUAUAAUAUUCUUUCUGAAAGGCUAACUUAUCUUAUUUCUUUAACAUCAGACGUGAUGACACCCAAUUAGCAAGGGCUGAUUUAGUCAAGGAGUUAAAAACAAGUAAAGCAUCCUUUCAGGUGAGAGAAGUAAAUUUUUAAAGUAUAAAACAUGAGCUGAACACAAGCAGUAGAAUGUCCAGCACGCAUGGCGACGGAAACAUCAGUUUUCAGUGGAGUGAGGUCUAGUUUGUCGUAUACACAGGCACAGCAGCUUGAAGAUACUGAUACUGUAGUUGCUUAUGUCAAAAUUAGCCAAAACUACAAAGAAAUUCACUGCAUGUUCUCAGUUCCUCCCACAGCACAUGGACAGUGCCAGUUCCUGGACAAGCCACGUGUAGUGCUCUGAGCUCUCCCUCCCACAGUCUCAGGGAAAAGUGCUCUCCUGAGCCCAAAGCUUCAUUGUCCCCACCACAAAUUUCAGGAAGCAGACAUUUGCAAAGCUCCCUUGAAGUUGGGGCUUCCCCACCAUUCUUUUCCCCUUGCCUUUUCCUUCUAGUGGCCCAGGCAGUGGGGCUGGGGCGGGGGCUGGGGGGAGGAAGGGAGGCCAGUGGUCAUUUCCUUUUGCUGACCUCCUGAGGCCGGUUAACCCACAAGCCCAUGCCCCCCUUCAGGGAACAGCCUCCAGCCUUUUUUCUUCCUUCCUCCCCCAGUCAGGGGCUUACAUGGUGUCCUACUUUGGAAUAGGAAGAAUGGUAUUUAUAGCAUCAGUUCUUUGCCUCAUUUGACCUUAUCCACCAUGUUGCUGUUUGAGGCACUUUAUCAUUUAUUUCUCAUAACAAAGCCCCUCUCUCUAGUUGGGAGGUAGGUAAGUGAAAAAUCAAGGAGGUAACGUACUAAGAGGGGUGUCACAGCAGAAGUACAGAAUAGAGCCUCAGAAGCAAGGAUGCAGGAGGCAGUAACCUCGAGGCAGGCUGCCAGGGGAGACCCACCAGCCAUUUACUUUGAUGAGGUCUGUGAAUGGUGACAUGGUUUGCAUAAAAAGGGAAAGGGUAAGUAAUUAUCCUCACAUAAUAAAAGGGUGGCUUUCCUGAGGCAAAGUGAAUAUUAGAACUUGGUUCUUUGUAUAAAUUUAAAAGCAUUUCCUAAAUACUAAACCUGUGUUCUUGAAAAUGCUAGUGCUUGUGUCAAAGUAUGUGGAAGUGAAGAAAAGAGAAAAGGAAGUGAGAAGUGCAUGUGUGUGCAUUAUUAUUAGAGUCCAUGUUUUAUUUCAUGCAAUUGUAUUUGCCCUAUAGAUUUCAUUAUUUUUCACUAUUUACACAUAAAUUAAAGCACCUAUUUCUACAUUAUUAAUAUAUUUUGUUUAAAAAUCUCCUAUACUUUAUUUAAAUUUACCAUGGAUUAUAUCUACUAUGCAGACAAAUAUUAAAUAAUUUGAUAGAAACAGCUAAUGAGUCUGCUAUAAUAUUCCACUACAAAUUAAAAUUAAUAUACCACUAUUAAUGUAUCAAAAGUUGUAGAUGUUUAGCUUAUAUUGUGCACAGUAGGUUAAAAACCAUCCUGGUCACUCUGUGCUUCACCUCCAAUCUCAGAUACCAUAUUCAUGUUCCUAUCUUCCAAAUACAAGGCUGGUAUAUCAUGAAGGUGUCUAUUGAGGAGUCUUAUAAUAGAUCAGAAAGUAGGCUUUUGGCUUAUCCUGAUUCACAUGAGUCUUGUUGAAAUCCUAGUUCCUGGUUUAAACAGACAUUAACAUGUGAGACAUCCUAGGUGCGAGCACUUGACAUUGUCUACCCUUAUAUCCCCAGCAGCGGCAUAGAAUAGCCACCAAAAAUGCGUUAGGAAUUAAUGAAUUAACUUCCUUUUACUUCUGCACGAAGCAAACUAAUAAUUGAUCCUCUAUAAAUUUCCAUAUGUUUAUGUGUUUCACAGCAUUUUAUAGGUAAAAUUUAAGGACACAUUACAUGUCAGCCUCAUAUUUGCUUUACAUUUAUUUGCAUGUUUAAUGCUUCAUUUAACAUUUAUUUUUAUAAAAUAUAUGUAUUUACAAUUUUUUACAUUUUUAGGACAUUGAAAGUAGUAAGUGCUUAUUGUAAAAAAAUUUUUAGAGUUAUAAAGAUUAAUUUCCUGCUUAAUUUUAUUCCAGUUGAAUCUCGUACUCUCUUUCUCAACUCAAACUUGGUAACCAAUGGUAAAAAAUUGGUUUAUAUUUUUCAACUUAGGUGUGGAUGAUUAAUAACAUCUUAAAUAUUCGAUUAUCUAUCUAUCUAAUCUACUAUCCAUCCAUCUAUCCAUCUAUCUGUCUAUUAUGCAUCCAUUCAUCCAUCCAUUUAUCCAUCCAUCUACUAUCAUCUGUCUAUUAUCUGUCAUCUAUCUAUUGAUCUGUCUAUCUAUAUCAGCUAUAAUAUAUUAUUCAACCACCCAGUCAAUCUAUGCUCUCCCUAAUUUCAAAACUGUUUAGAGGCAAAUUUUCAAAUAAUGUGUGUAGUACAAUAAGAUAAGGCAUAGGAAAGUUAAGUCAAAGAGAAAACAAAGAUGGACAGUUAAGAAAUGAGCACAAAGAAGCUAGUGCCCUGGUGAGAUCCUACACAAUGACUAAAGAUGAAAACAAAUUUGCUUCUGAGCUCAGUAGCAUUCAAAGGCAAUAAAGGAUGUGCGCAGGUAUGAAGGAAAAGUUGGAGGGAUCCUGUGUGCUGAGUGCUUGGAUGUUUUCGGAAGUGCAAUGAAAGGGAAAGUCUAGUUGAUCUUGGCAAACUUAGAAUAUGUUUAAUUAAAUUUCUUUAAAAAAGCAAUAAAACUGGUGGACUGGAUUCCCUUGAACCACAUUCCCAGUGUCCAAAAGUAUGUAUUGAAUGAAAUGUCUGCUCCAGAAUCAUGAAAUAAAAAUGAAAGGUGACAUAUUUUCACAGCUCAUUUGAUGUGUUCUUAGUGCUAGCAGCUCUUUUACCUGUUUUACAAAUACUUGUUAAUGUCUUCUUUGUUCUUAUAUAUAAUCUUUUAAGGUUGGUCAGGACACCUUGUGCUUAAUCUUUGUACAUCAUCCACAGGUGCCACUGGGACAUCUGUGCAAAAACGCUCGGCUACAGUGCACGUCGGCAGGCAGACUAUGGCAGCAGUACUGGAGACUCAUUACCCCAGUGUCAUGGUUAAUGACGUCCCCACAGUGCUGAACAGAAAAGAUUUCAUACCCCACAUGUGAGGGGUGAAAUAUUGUAAAACCAAACCCCACCAAACAAACUGAAGCUCUCAAAGUGCACAGCUCGGCAAAAUUUACCUGCAUCACGUACAUCCUCAAGGUCAGUUAUAAUUCAACAGACUUUGAGAAAGAUUUGAAGCCUUUGAUGAAACACAUAUCCAAGAAAGGAAGGGUGCAUGUCUCUUGGCGCCAUAGCGGCUGCUCCCCCCAUAGGUUGUGACUGGCGUGACUUCAGUGCUGCAGCAGAUUAUCUGGAGGGACGUCCCUCUCUCUACCUCCGCUUUGAGGCUUUUCUCACCCCUUGAAAUGUUCAAGAUUCCCACAGGCUGCGGCAAUCCAAGGAAGCCCUCCUGACCCCAGCAUCCGCUGGGGAGACCAUUGGGAUGAGCUCAAGCCACAGGUUUCUGCUCCUCUCAGUUCAUAAUGGGGGGCCAGGGCUGGGAACCCUGGAAACCCCAUCUUCCUGAUGGAGAGCCUGCAGGAGCUGCUAUGGGUGGGGGACCUGGAUGUCCUCGCUGGCACCUUGGCCAGCUCCCCUCCUGGACCUUGUGGGUACCAUGUUUCUGGUUGACUUCUCUAUGCUAAGGCAGCUCCUGUUGGACCCAGGGCUGCAUGAACACUGACUCACAUCCGCCAUUCCUUUCCCUCUUAGCCUGGGAAUCUACACCCUUCUUCCCCUUUAGCCGCCUGACACAGAGGGUCUGAGUAUGAGGAAUUUCUGUUUUGGGUGCAUUGGUUUCAAAUGGAAUUUAAUAUUCAGUGAUUCAGGUGAGUUCCCUCCAAGGAGACUCCCUUAGUGGUCUCUGUGGUGCUCCCUUUCCUCUUUUUGGGGGAUGGAUCCAGGUUACGCCCUCAAUGGUCCUAGCACCUUUCCUGCUAGCAAACCCUGUCUCUGAGAGCAGUUAUGCCCUGGGAUCCAGCAGGAGCUGCCUUGGUCUCUGCCCUGGCUCUCCCAGGCUCUCCCAUGACCCACAUGAUGAGGGAUCAGCAGGGCCAGGGGAUGUACCUGGGCCCUGAAAUUCCCUGAUGGAUUGGACCUGGUUCUGGGGAUUCUGGGCCUCUUCCCGGGUUCCUUGGUUGAGGGACACAUCUGUUUAUUAGUGUAUACCCAGUAGGCACCUGCUGGCAGGGAUGGGCAGGUGGCUGGAGCUUCGAUGUGCCGCUGUGGGCAUUGACACAGGGGCUGGGUGAGGCCACACACCCGCUCUCCUGCAGGAAGCCACCACAUCCAGGGGCAGAGUACGAGGACACAGACAGCUCUCUGGGAAAAUAUGGGAUAUCUGGACAGUAAGAAAGUGUGUUUUAAAGGGCACUAGUUUCUAGAUCAUUCUGCUACACUGCUCCUUAACUUGAUUUUAACUUUAAGAUAUUUAGUGAUAUGACUUGUGCAUCUCCAUGUCUACCCUUGCCCAACCUUGCACGUUUUAUGAAAGGAUAUACAGACCCAUGCAAAUCACUGAUUUCCCAAAACACAUCUAUGGUAUACUUUGUGAUCUGGCCAGGCGUGAAGGAAUUAAUUGGCUGCAAGCUGUGGGCCAAGUGAAAAGAGCUAGGAUUUGGUGUUCAUCCACCUAUCGCGGGGAACAGACCCAACUGCUGAGGAUGGAAAAAUCUCAAGCCAGGCAGGCAAAAUUUAGUAAACCAGAAAUGAUGGUCUCAAAUGACAGGUGGGAUUCCAGGAAGCACUUAGUGUCAGAAAUGUCUCACAGAGUUUCCCAAUAGGCAAACUUGGGAACAAGGGCUAUUGAGAGAUGCAUCAGGUAGGGGAUAGUAAUAGACAAACUAGCCAGGAGAUAUCAGCACCCCAGCCCCAGAAUCCCAGUACAAGAAUUCCUGGUGAGAGGGUGGAAGUUGAGAGAGCAAUCAUAAAGAAACUGAAGUGCAGAGAAUAAUACGUGACUCACCUGCAGAACUUGAUGGUGGUGUGGGAGCAGCCUAAGAACAAAACCAUGACCAUUUACUACAUCUGGGCCACGAGGACCCGGGAGCGCUGACCGUUUACUGCAUCCGUGCCACGAGGACCCGGGAGCGCUGACCGUUUACUGCAUCCGGGCCACGAGGACCCGGGAGCGCUGACCGUUUACUGCAUCCGGGCCACGAGGACCCGGGAGCGCUGACCGUUUACUGCAUCCGGGCCACGAGGACCCGGGAGCGCUGACCACUUACUGCAUCGGGGCCCCGGGAGCGCUGACCACUUACUGCAUCCGGGCCACGAGGACCCGGGAGCGCUGACCGUUUACUGCAUCCGGGCCACGAGGACCCGGGAGCGCUGACCGUUUACUGCAUCCGGGCCACGAGGACCCGGGAGCGCUGACCGUUUACUGCAUCCGGGCCACGAGGACCCGGGAGCGCUGACCGUUUACUGCAUCCGGGCCACGAGGACCCGGGAGCGCUGACCGUUUACUGCAUCCGGGCCACGAGGACCCGGGAGCGCUGACCGUUUACUGCAUCCGGGCCACGAGGACUAAGGAGCACUGCCAACAGAGAGUGAUUCCCUGAGCAUGGACCCGGCUUCCCCAUCUCACCUGGGAUGCGAAUGGUUCCAGACCCUGAGCACAUACCUGGAUGAGAAUGGUUUUUAUUUUGGAGAGAGGAGCAUUUUUAGGGCAGGGAGAACAGAUAUUUAAAGGAAAAGUUGACUGAUGUUCUUUCAAUUCCUCCACAUUAUGAAGACUGAUUCCAGUUUAAGGAGAAUUCUAGGAAUCUUCCUUCAACUUUCUGGUCCUGAAAGACCAGGUCCAUAAAAUGAUGUGGUUGGAGCAGAUAAUCUGCAGCAGCUCUGGUGUGCCUGAAACUGUCAGCAGUUAAACCGCUCCUGUUCCUUUUUGAGAUCUUAAUCAGAAAUGAAUAUGCAUCAAAGAGACCCCAGAGCGAGACCCUCUUCCGUGUUAUUUCUACUGAAUGAGAGGCAGGAACUGCAUUAGUGUUUUGCAUGUCGUGAACUAUGGCCAUGAGACUAGAGUCCCCAGGAUGACACUCCACCAUCUGACUCAUGCUGAGGGCUCACACUGGCCCCUGAUAUUAUUUCUGAAGCCCUAACACUGAACGUAAAAACCUGGGAGAGAACUGUACGGAAGGACCCCAGGAUGCUGAUAGCCCCCAUGGAACAGGGCUUCGUGGAUUCAGGCGUCAGAAUCAAGCCUAGAGAGAGGAGAUGUUUACCGCUCAUGGCAGAGUGAGGCCUCGCGGUGAAUGGAAAGCAUGGCUGGGCACAGGGGUGGUCCUGAUGGAGGGGCCAGAGGCUGAUGAUGGCGUGGAGGCCCUGACACAGGGCAGCCCCGCCAGCCUCUGCAUGGCCGGGGGAGUUACACCCUUGAGGACGGGUUCCAAGAAUAAAAUGUGUAGUAUGCAGAAGACAACAGGGCCUUUGUGUGGAAAGGCAUCGGCGAAUUAACACCAAUGGUGGAGAGCAGGCAGUAGGGAAGCGGCCGCGUUGGGCGCUGUUCCCCACCCCAUCUGGUCUGGCUUGCACGGCCAGGGCAGCGCAGGCGUCGGCCUCCUGUUUCUCUGCUGCCAUGAUCCUGUUUCUACCCCCAUAGCUCUUACCUGGCCCCUGUAUCCAAGCCUUCCUCGGGUACUGCCCUGGCCAGGAGAGAAGGAAGCACCCAGCCUGCUGGUCGGUGUUCCGCUGAAGCAUUGUAUGAGUCCGGGUUCUCUAGAGGGACAGGACUGAUAGGAUAGGUGUAUACACGAAGGGGAGUUUAUUAAGGAGAAUUGACUCAUGAUCACUAGGUGAGGUCCCACAAUAGGCCGUCUGCAAGCUGAGGAGCCUGGAAGCCAGUCCGAGUCCCAAAACCUUAGAGAUAGGGAAGCCGGCAGUGCAGCCUUCGGUCUGUGGCCAAAGGCCUGAGAGCCCCGGGCAAACCACUGGUGUGAGUCCAAGAGUCCAAAAGCUGAAGAACUUGGAGUCUGAUGUUCAAGGGCAGGAGGCAUCCAGCAUGGGAGAAACAUGGAGGCCGGAAGACUCAGUCAGUCCAGUCCUUCCACCUUCCUCUGCCUGCUUUUAUCCUAGCCGUGCUGGCAGCCGAAUAGAUGGUGCCCACCCAGACUGAGGGUGGGUCUGCCUCUCCCAGCCCACUGACUCCAGUGUUAAUCUCCUUUGGCAACACACUCACAGACACACCCAGGACAAUACUUUGCAUCCUUCAAUCCAAUCAGGUUGACACUCAACAUUAACUAUCACGAGCAUGUUCUGUGGAGGGCAGAAGCUCCCAUUGGUUGGGUCAGAGGCUGCUGCAGCCACAGAGGCUGGUGGGGGCCGCCAUGCGGCCCUCAUGUGUGUAUGUGGGGACAAUUGGGCAGCCUCUGUUUGCUCGCCCUACUCACAAUCUGAGUGUGCAGUUUACCACCAAGUAUGGGUCAAAAUCCCAGGAUUACAGUUGGACUUUGUUUAAUUUAAAAGACUUGUUUUAUUGGUCAGAGUUCCCCAGAGAAACAGAACCAAUAGGAUCUGUAUCUCUAUGUAUGUCUAUAUCUACACCUAUGUUUGUCUGUAUCUAUAUCUAUCUGUGUCUUUAUCUAUACCUCUCUGUAUCUAUGUAUCAAUAUCUAGAUCUAUCUGUGUCUGUAUCUAGACCUAUCUGUGUAUCUGUAUCUAUUUGUGUCUAUAUCUACACCUAUCUGUAUCUAUAGCUAUCUGUGUCUCCAUCUAUGCCUAUCUGUAUCUAUAUCUAUACCUAUCUGUGUCUAUAUCUUACCUGUCUAUCUAUAUCUAUCUCUAUCUGUAUCUAUCUCUAUCUAUCUGUGUCUGUAGCUAUACCUAUCUGUAUCUAUAUCUAUAUCUAUCUUUAUCUAUAUCUAUCUAUCUUUAUCUAUAUCUAUACCUGUUUGUAUCUAUAUCUACACCUGUCUGUAUCUGUAUCUAUCUCUGUCUGCAUCGAUACCUAUCUGUAUCUGUAUCUAUAUCUAUACCUAUCUGUAUAUCUAUUUAUAACUAUCUGUAUCUAUGCCUAUUAUCUGUAUCUUUAUCUAUACCUAUCUGUAUCUGUAUCUAUAUAUCUAAAGAGAUUUAUUGCAAGGAAUUGGCUCACCUGAUUAUGGAGGCUGACACAUCCUGAGACCUGCAGUCAAUGGGCUGGAGACUGGGGAGGUGAAGGUGUGAGUUUCAGUCUGAAGGCUGGCAGGCACCAGACCCAGGAAGAGCCAACACUUCAGUUCAAAUCAAAAGGCAGAAAAGCCCCAGUGUCCCAGCUCACAGUAUCAAGUAGGAGGAAUUCCCUGGCUGGCUCUGGGGUUGCACAAGCAGCUUAUUCAUUGGGAUUUGCUUUGUUUUAUUUUUAAAUUAAUUUUUUUUUUGAGACAGCGUCUUACUCUGUCAUCCAAACUGGAGUGCAGUGGCACAAUCUUGGCUCAAUGCAGCCUCGGCUUCCUGGGCUCAAGUGAUCCCUCUGCCUCAGCCUCCCAAGUUGCUGGGACCACAGGCACCUGCCUUUAUGCCCUUCUUGUGCUGGGAUUUCGGGUGUGAGCCUCCGCACCGGCCCUGUUUCUCACGAUGGGAUUUCAGCUAUGAGCCUCCAUGCCUGGCCCUGUUUCUCACGCUGGGAUUUUGGGUGUGAGUCCCCUUGCCCGGCCCUGUUUCUUGUGCUGCGAUUUCGGGUGUAAGCCCCGGCGCCCAGCCCUGUUUCUUGUGCUGGGAUUUCGGGUCUGAGCCCCUGCACCUGGCCUUGUUUCUCUGGCUGCCUCCCUUUCUCAGACUCCUGUAGUGGUGUUUCCUUCCAACACCUGUGUUUUACAGCAUGUGGGUUUUUUUCUCCUCUCUGCCAUCAAUAUGCAAAGUGCUGAGGUUGCACUCUUAAGCCCUGUGAAAAGGACUUUGCUAUUGUUACUGGACAAUUUUUCUUCAUGAUACUUCCAGUUUCUUGGAAAUCGGUAGGUUCUUUUCCUCACCCAACUGGGGUUUUCCGUUUCUGUCUCCUGGAUCUAGAUGGCUCUGCUCUUUCAUCAGCAGAGAGCGCUGGUUUCCGAGCCUUCAGAGGGGACUGUUUUAGAGCCUCCAGCUCUGUCGUGUGGCUGUGCCAGUAACCCAGGAAAGGCUUACACCCUAGUAUAGUAAUAGAACACGGAUCCAUUAUGUGUCUCACUACACAUGCAUUAACGACUGGAAAAUCCAAAGGCAUUUUACAUAAUCUGAAGUUCAGUCAAGUCAGCGGAGUGUUUGAGAAGAGGAAGGCGACUUCCUGACGCCUGUCAUGAUAUGAACCAAGUAGUUUCAUCCGGAGUGGAAUCUGGCUUGGUUCUGGCCUUUUAAUUUUUGCAAGCCAGACCACUAGUAUACCUAACUAUAACCCUGCAUGUAAUUUUUGGCUGAAUGGAUGGUUUCUGGUGCAGUAAUAUAUGAGUUUCUCUCAAUAUGCACUGUCUAUUCUGUGAGAAUGUUAAAGUAUCUGAAUUUCAAAAGCACGUGCAGAGGUACAAGGGCCGCGCCUGUGAGAACACCGAGCAACGCUGCAUGAUGGCUGGAGGCUGGGGAGCCACUUUCCUUCCCUCACGCAUCCGCCUCCACGCAAGCCUGCUCUCCGCCGUGGGAAAUCAGACAGCUGGGCUGACAACCUGCAUUCGGGAUGCAGUGGAGGUGAUGGACAGCCGGCCCCGGGAGGGGUGAAUACUCUGUCCACUCCGCCCCCAGGCCAGAGCCUCGCAUGGUGAUGAAUAGAGUUGUACUGACGUGGAAAAUCAGAUACUCAGCACCUGUCCUUCAAGACAGAUAGGGGAAAAGCUGAGGAAACAGAAAAAAAAAAAAAUGGAAAAGAAGAAGUGGUCAAGAAAGGGCUGCAAACACACAAAGAGAUGAUUUUUUAAAGAGAAAAGGAAAAUAACAAACCAGAUGCUGACAUGGUACUCCAGUUCCAAUAUCCUAUUUAUUAUCAUACAUUCAACUCCUCAGGUAUUUAAUGACAAGCUACUCAGAGCUUGUCUCAGAGCACCAGGAAUUCUGAGUCACAUUCGGGGUGUAAAGCGGGGCCCUGCAUUCAGGGAGCUGAGUCUGACUGGGAACUGGAAAGGCUCCCCUACCUCCCAUGGCCGUCUGUGAGCUUCACCUGUGAGUGGCAGGUGUGCGUGGAGUCAGUUCCCCUCCAUGCCCGCCUGCAUUCCUACCCGGAGACCUCUGGCUGCGAUGGGAAUUCCCCUGCUGUUCUCAUUAUUGCAGGUUUUUCUUCCGUAUUUCUGAACCCCUCAUAUCUCAGGGAAGGAAAUCCAGGGAGAAGUAUCUGUUGCGUCCCCAUCUGUUGCAUUUUCUGAGUCUCCACGUUAAUGAAAGAGCAGCCAUCCAGUUUCCUUCGGUGCCGAGAGUCCUCGGGACCUGUCAUUGUUCUAAAGGACAGAGGACACCGUGCAGAUGUGACGUCUGUCGCCAUUUCUCAGUCUCCUCUUAGCAAACUUUAAAGCCCGGAAAACCUUCUAUUUUCAAAGUAGGAAAAUUAGAUUACAGCAAAGCCAUAACCCUGUAUCUCUCCUAACCUUGCUCCCUAAUCAGGAAUAAAAGGGAAAUUAUCUGAAGAAUUAUCUAAUAUGUUCUUCAUCAGGAGAUCGUAAUUAAAUCAUAAUUGCCAUCCGGCAGCAAAAUGUGAUGAAAUUACCAGGGCAAACUAUUAAUUACUUCAAAGAUCCAUUUUAAUCGUAAACAGUUUAAUAUACCUCUAUAAAAAUUGCCAUCAGGCAGGCGCUUAAUGAGGGUGCUGUGAAGGCUCUGCUGUCCUUGGUGACUGGAGGAUGUUUUCACGAGAUCUUCACGGUUAUUUUCCAUUUCCAGUUCCUUAGGCCUGGCUCUUAUAUUCUCUAAUACUAUGGGGAGUAGAAAUUUCUGCAUCCUCCUGGGUGGAGUGUGUGAGUGUGUGCAUACAUAUGUGUUUAUAUGUGUGUGUGUGCACUGUGUAGGUGAUAUGCGUGUGUGUGCGUGCAUGUGUAUGUGUGUAUAUGUAUGAGUGUGUGCUAGUGUGUGUGCAUAUGUAUAUGCAUGGGAAUGUGUGUAUGUGUGUGCAUAUGUAUAGGUGUGUGUGCAUGUGUAGGUAUGCAUGUGUGUACAUAUGUGCGCAUAUGUACUUGUGUGUAUGUGUGUGCAUGCGUGUGUGCAUAUGUAUAGGUGUGUCUCUGCAUGUGUAUGUGCGUAUGCAUGUGUGUUUAUAUGAGUGCAUGUGCAUUGUGUACAUAGGUACAUGUAUGUGUGUCCAUGUGCAUGCUGUAUUUAUGUGUACAUGUUAUGCAAUGUGCAGGUGUGUAUGUGUGUACAUAUGUACAUGUAUGUGUGUAGAUGUGCAUGUGUAUAUUUGCAGGUAUGUAUGUAUAUGUGUACAUAUGUACAUGUGUUUAUGUCUAUGUGUGUGCAUGUGUGUCUGUGUGUAUGAGUAUAUACAUGUGCAUGUAUGUUUGUGUACAUAUGUACAUAUGUGCUCACAUGUGUUUGUGUCUGUGUGCAUGUUGUUUGUGUGCAGGUGGGCCGUUGCUUUGUAGUUUUGUGGGGGCUAAACAAAGGAUGUGCAUGAUGCUGUGCAUGUGUGCAUGUGUAUAUGUGUGCAUGUGUGUUUGUGUACAUAUGUACAUGUAUGUGUGUGCAUGUUUUUUGUGUGCAGGUGGGCCGUUGCUUUGUAGUUUUGUGGGGGCUAAACAAAGGAUGUGCAUGAUGCUGUGCAUGUGUGCAUGUGUAUAUGUGUGCAUGUGUGUUUGUGUACAUAUGUACAUGUAUGUGUGUGCAUGUGUUUGUGUCUCUGUGUGUAUGUUCUGUGUGUGCAUUCACGUGUAUAUGUGUGCAUGUGUGUUUGUGUGCGUAUGUAUGUGUAUUUGCUACGAGUGGUAUCUUGAAGAAAGGGGAUGGUGAGGAUGAAAGGGAAGAGUUUGUGUUCGCAGCCACACAUAAACUCACAGAAGAGCUUUUGAUGGGGCACAGUAAAUUUUGGAAUUAGGUAUGAGGAAGCGUCUUUGCGUCAUUCUUAGUUCUUUGAGAUAUUUUUCAUUUAAAUGAAAAUGCAUACCUUUUUCUAGAUCUUGAUGCAAAGAGUUGCAUCAAAGUGGAGCUUGUGAGUAAGAAUGCAGAUAGAAAAUCAUGGGAAUUAUUCACGUGGAUGACCUGAUUUUAUUCUAGUCUUACUUAUGAAGUCUUCUUCCUGCUCCACAACGAUUCAAGAGACAGGAAACAAACUUUUAAAAUUACAUAAAUAAACGGGCCAAGGGGAAAUACAAGAGGACAAGCAAAGACAGACACAGCUCGGCACUGCGCUCGUGGCUCAUCUCUCCAUGGACGCCAAAUUCAAACCUGUUGGCAACUCAUCACGUUGGACUGAUGGCACAAAGGUUCUUGGGAAAUAGAAUCAUGUUCAGCAUCAAGUAGGAAAAAAAUCACAAGUACUUGCAGACAAGCCAAUCAAAAUUGAAGGAAAAAUAGAAUCAGCACCUAGUGUAAAUUAACUUCAGAAAUAUGCAGUCAGGACUGUCCUUGUGGACUUGCAUUCUAGCUUCUGAGCUGAAAUUUGUGUCAUUAAACUGAUAUCUAGAUGAUGUACAUUUCUUGACUUAAUACAAUUCAAAAAAAUUGAAACAAAUUACAUCAACACAGUGGCUAUCAUUUCCCCCUUGUAAAUGGCAUAGUACCAGUCUAUACAAUUUUGAAUGUUGUCUUUCUGUUGACUGUUAGUUACUUUAGACUACAAAUCUCAGAACAUUUAAAUAAUGAUUUGUUAAAUUACUCUAAACCUAAUUAUUUUAUAUUUACUCGCACAAUCCCCUCUGUUGGUUCUGAAAUGAACAAACUAUUCAAAGGAGUGCAGAGCCAGUGGGUGUAGAGAGUUAUGUUUUAUUAAUUGGAAGCAUUCUAACAGUAACCAUAUUGACUGAUCACAUGCCCAAUAUUCUCUUUUUGACCAAUUUUGCUGCUGUCAAGAAAAGAAGGAUAAUAUUAUACAGUAAUUCAGAGCUAAUAAUUUAUCAGUUCCACUAUUUUGUAGGUAUUAAUAUCAAAAGCUGGUUGUUGGAAAGUCGAACAAUGUAGCAAGGGCUCCCAGGCGUGCCAUUUCUAUCUUCCUGUGUGUGAUUGGAUCUCAUCUCUACAAUGUGUUCUGUGCUGUGUGGGAAAGUUACACAAUCCCACUGGUUGCGGGGUUCUGGGGGUCAGUUGAUUAACAGGGUGCUGAAAAUGAGAUCGUUCCACCACACUGCAGGCAGGAAGAAGCAUUUGUCAUCCCAGAUGAUUUUCUGAAAUACUUGGCAGCAUUGUCAACUCCAGAGUGGAAAGCAAUGAACAACUCCUUUCAGGCAGCACCUCCCAGGGCUCAAGAGGAGACCUUUAGUCCCACUUACCAGGUAACAAUUGCCAGCCCAGCUGCUGGAUGAGGAUAAAGGAGGCAUAGCUGGUAAAAGAGUAAGAAGUCAAAAACCAGAUCUAAGCUGGGAACUUGCAGCAGAAACUGACUGUAGCAAACGCGUGUUUUCUUCUGUGAUGUGUGUGUGCACUUGCCACUCAUCUGUGUCCAAAUCCUCCCUUCUCCUGCCAGAUCUGGGCUUCCCUCUUCCUGCUGAGCUCUGUGCCCUGCAGGGCUGAUCUCCUGGUGCAGCAUUGGAGGGGUCCCCUCGGUGGUCUGGUCCUUAUCAGGUUCUGCCACCCGAAGGCUCUGGCAGAACCCAAGAGGGAGGGAGGGCAAAGGAUCAGACGGGGAUGCCCAGAUCUUUGGCUCCGGCUGUGGGUUGGUGGUGCUGCACUUCCCAUGCAUGGGCGUGGCUUUGCUCAGGAGCCUUUCGUGCGGUCUGUGUCUCCCUUGCCACUCUUGCCCAGGUAGUCAUGGUUCCUAAUGCGGGGCUCUGCUCUGCCCCUCAGUGGAUGCCCUUGACCCCUCCCCCCGCCGUGGCUUUUCCCAGAGCCCGUCCUCACACCUGCCUGAGCCCCUUCUCCGAGGGCACCUGUUUCCUGCCAGGACCUGGGCUGUGGUCCAUGAUCCCUCACUUCCUACUGCGCCGGGGUGCACGGCUGUGGCCGGGGUGCACGGCUUGCCCCUAG